GAGUUUGAUCUUGGCUCAGAUUGAACGCUGGCGGCACGCCUAACACAUGCAAGUCGAGCGGUAACAUGAUCUGUAGCAAUACAGAUUGAUGACGAGCGGCGGACGGGUGAGGAACACGUAGGAAUCUACCUUAGAGAGGGGGACAACCAAGGGAAACUUUGGCUAAUACCGCAUAAUCUCGAGAGAGAAAAGCUGCCCGCAAGGGUGGCGCUUUAAGAGGAGCCUGCGUCCGAUUAGCUAGUUGGUGAGGUAAAGGCUCACCAAGGCGAUGAUCGGUAACUGGUCUGAGAGGACGACCAGUCACACUGGGACUGAGACACGGCCCAGACUCCUACGGGAGGCAGCAGUGGGGAAUAUUGGACAAUGGGCGCAAGCCUGAUCCAGCCAUGCCGCGUGAGUGAUGAAGGCCUUAGGGUUGUAAAGCUCUUUCAGUGGGGACGAUAAUGACGGUACCCACAGAAGAAGCCCCCGGCUAA
RNAcentral lists this ribosomal RNA (476 nucleotides) under uncultured Gammaproteobacteria bacterium. Its description in RNAcentral is "bacterial SSU rRNA". It matches the Rfam family "Bacterial small subunit ribosomal RNA", at positions 9 to 500 of the family's 1533-position model. The record is from RNAcentral. Lineage: Bacteria; Pseudomonadati; Pseudomonadota; Gammaproteobacteria.